RNAcentral lists this ribosomal RNA (835 nucleotides) under Micromonospora sp. IM-6875. Its description in RNAcentral is "bacterial SSU rRNA". It matches the Rfam family "Bacterial small subunit ribosomal RNA", at positions 38 to 889 of the family's 1533-position model. Lineage: Bacteria; Bacillati; Actinomycetota; Actinomycetes; Micromonosporales; Micromonosporaceae. The record is from RNAcentral.
GGCGGCGUGCUUAACACAUGCAAGUCGAGCGGAAAGGCCCUUCGGGGUACUCGAGCGGCGAACGGGUGAGUAACACGUGAGCAACCUGCCCUAGGCUUUGGGAUAACCCCGGGAAACCGGGGCUAAUACCGAAUAUGACCUUACAUCGCAUGGUGUUUGGUGGAAAGUUUUUCGGCCUGGGAUGGGCUCGCGGCCUAUCAGCUUGUUGGUGGGGUGAUGGCCUACCAAGGCGACGACGGGUAGCCGGCCUGAGAGGGCGACCGGCCACACUGGGACUGAGACACGGCCCAGACUCCUACGGGAGGCAGCAGUGGGGAAUAUUGCACAAUGGGCGGAAGCCUGAUGCAGCGACGCCGCGUGAGGGAUGACGGCCUUCGGGUUGUAAACCUCUUUCAGCAGGGACGAAGCGCAAGUGACGGUACCUGCAGAAGAAGCGCCGGCCAACUACGUGCCAGCAGCCGCGGUAAGACGUAGGGCGCGAGCGUUGUCCGGAUUUAUUGGGCGUAAAGAGCUCGUAGGCGGCUUGUCGCGUCGACUGUGAAAACCCGCAGCUCAACUGCGGGCCUGCAGUCGAUACGGGCAGGCUAGAGUUCGGUAGGGGAGACUGGAAUUCCUGGUGUAGCGGUGAAAUGCGCAGAUAUCAGGAGGAACACCGGUGGCGAAGGCGGGUCUCUGGGCCGAUACUGACGCUGAGGAGCGAAAGCGUGGGGAGCGAACAGGAUUAGAUACCCUGGUAGUCCACGCUGUAAACGUUGGGCGCUAGGUGUGGGGGGCCUCUCCGGUUCCCUGUGCCGCAGCUAACGCAUUAAGCGCCCCGCCUGGGGAGUACGGCCGC